Molecule: non-coding RNA, 172 nt
Organism: Thermotalea metallivorans
Lineage: Bacteria; Bacillati; Bacillota; Clostridia; Peptostreptococcales; Thermotaleaceae
Source: Rfam
UCCAUCGUGAGGUGGAAUCUGAAGGAAGCCCUAGGCAAAGUCUCGGUCUGAGGAACACGAACCACAUAUAAGGCUUCUUGGAACGGACGAGUUUGCAAGACAAAACAAAGUCCAACACUACACGAAUUUCAAGGAGUAAAUGGGGCAGAUAGAUGAGAUGAAGGUUAUCGUU